GUGGGGAAUCUUGCGCAAUGGGCGAAAGCCUGACGCAGCCAUGCCGCGUGAAUGAUGAAGGUCUUAGGAUUGUAAAAUUCUUUCACCGGGGACGAUAAUGACGGUACCCGGAGAAGAAGCUCCGGCUAACUUCGUGCCAGCAGCCGCGGUAAUACGAAGGGGGCUAGCGUUGCUCGGAAUUACUGGGCGUAAAGGGCGCGUAGGCGGACAGCUUAGUCAGAGGUGAAAGCCCAGGGCUCAACCUUGGAAUUGCCUUUGAUACUGGCUGUCUUGAGUGUGGGAGGGGUGGGUGGAACUCCGAGUGUAGAGGUGAAAUUCGUAGAUAUUCGGAAGAACACCAGUGGCGAAGGCGACUCACUGGCCCAAUACUGACGCUGAGGCGCGAAAGCGUGGGGAGCAAACAGGAUUAGAAACCCGAGUAGUCC
RNAcentral lists this ribosomal RNA (425 nucleotides) under uncultured bacterium. RNAcentral's name for it is "partial 16S ribosomal RNA". It matches the Rfam family "Bacterial small subunit ribosomal RNA", at positions 354 to 796 of the family's 1533-position model. The record is from RNAcentral.